UACGUAGGGGGCAAGCGUUGUCCGGAUUUAUUGGGCGUAAAGCGCGUGUAGGCGGCCAUACAGGUCCGUUGUGAAAACUCGAGGCUUAACCUCGAGACGUCGAUGGAAACCGUAUGGCUAGAGUCCGGAAGAGGAGAGUGGAAUUCCUGGUGUAGCGGUGAAAUGUGCAGAUAUCAGGAAGAACACCCGUGGCGAAGGCGGCUCUCUGGGACGGUACUGACGCUGAGACGCGAAAGCGUGGGGAGCGAACAGG
This 253-nucleotide ribosomal RNA is filed under the name uncultured bacterium. RNAcentral's name for it is "partial 16S ribosomal RNA". It matches the Rfam family "Bacterial small subunit ribosomal RNA", at positions 524 to 776 of the family's 1533-position model. The record is from RNAcentral.